This 585-nucleotide long non-coding RNA is filed under the name Pandoravirus celtis. RNAcentral describes it as "hypothetical ncRNA". The record is from RNAcentral.
CAAUGUAAGCCCAUGGCCCGCAGCGUCGGCGAGGAGGUCGGCGACUUUUUUGGGAUCUGCAGGCAGGCAGCCGUCGGCCACACCCGACACAUUCAGCAACAUCCAGUAUUGAACAAGGUUAAGGGUGCGUCCGUCGGCAAGGGUGACGGUUGUGCGCACGGGGUCGAGCAUGGCCAGUCGACGCGUCCUUGGCCGCAUGCGUCGAGGGCCGCCUGGCAAUGAGCGACCAUGCCCAGGGAUUCGGCCAAGGGACGCACGAGAUCCCACGAGUCAGGGUGUCGGUAGUAGGACGAGAGCCCCCGAAAGACGACAAACUUGCGCACGCGUUGAUCCUCUUGAAUGGCCGCGAUCUGCGACGCCGCCCUCGACAGGCGCACGCCGGCAGACAGGUUGGGAUGUGUGCACGCCAGCAAUGCAUGACCGCCAGGACCCACGGACGCGCGCGGCACGAUGCCAACACCAUGUCGAGCAACGGCGGAUCGGUCGAAAAGACGGGGCGCAUGUCGACGCCGCGGCGAAGCAGCCGACGAUACACCCGCAAGGGCAGGCGCGCAUCCGUGGGGAUCUCCAGGUGACGCGCGGGGG